AAAAGCCUGGUCCUGACUUUAACAUCAGUUAUAACCCAACUUACACAUGCAAGUAUCCGCACUCCCGUGAGAAUGCCCUUUCCCCCCGGCAGGAGAAAAGGAGCAGGCAUCAGGCACACACUCGUUGCCCAAAACGCCUUGCUUAGCCACACCCCCAAGGGAUCGCAGCAGUGACAGACAUUAAGCCAUGAGCGAAAGCUUGACUUAGUUAGGGUUGAUAGGGCCGGUAAAACUCGUGCCAGCAACCGCGGUUAUACGAGAGGCCCGAAUUGAUACACUAACGGCGUAAAGUGUGAUUAAAGAUAAACCAAACUAGAGCCAAACACCCCUUAUGCUGUCAUACGCCAUGGGGGUCACGAAGACCAACAACGAAGGUGGUUCUAAUGACUUGAUCUUGAACUCACGACAGCCAAGAUACAAACUGGGAUUAGAUACCCCAUUAUGCUUGGCCUUAAACUAAGGUGAAAAUACUACAAACUUCGCCCGCCAGGGAACUACGAGCCCUAGCUUAAAACCCAAGGGACUUGGCGGUGCCUCAAACCCACCUAGAGGAGCCUGUCCUAUAACCGAUGACCCCCGUUUAACCUCACCCCUCCUUGCCAAUCCCGCCUAUAUACCGCCGUCGCCAGUUUACCUUUUGAGAGAACAGCAGUAAGCAAAACGGGUAAUACCCAACACGUCAGGUCGAGGUGUAGCGAAUGGAGGGGGAAGAGAUGGGCUACAUUUUCUGAUAACAGAACAUUACGAAGAGUACAAUGAAAGAUGUACGGCCGAAGGUGGAUUUAGCAGUAAAAAGGAAGAAGAGUGUUCUUU
Molecule: ribosomal RNA, 813 nt
Filed under: Gymnothorax zonipectis
Lineage: Eukaryota; Metazoa; Chordata; Actinopteri; Anguilliformes; Muraenidae
Description: partial 12S ribosomal RNA subunit
Rfam family: Bacterial small subunit ribosomal RNA
Source: RNAcentral